This 372-nucleotide long non-coding RNA is filed under the name Lathyrus oleraceus (garden pea). Its description in RNAcentral is "Pisum sativum (pea) long non-coding RNA (PSAT_LNC021246)". The record is from RNAcentral. Lineage: Eukaryota; Viridiplantae; Streptophyta; Magnoliopsida; Fabales; Fabaceae.
CUUCUUUGCUAAAACUAUCAUAGCUUCCACAAGUUGGUCUAUUUGGUUUUUCAUCGAGUCAACAUCUCCUCUUACUGCAAUGUGACUUUGCUCCAAUGGAUCCAUAAUCUUUCAAGAGCUACUUCAAGUCUGAUAUGAGUAUCGGGAAAUCAACUGCAGGUUAUGGACGAAGGACGAAUGAGUUUUUUUUGUAUUUAUUUUUUUGGUGAAAAUGAUAUGAAAUGUAUGAUGAUGAAUGCAAAUGCAAUGAUAUGUGUAUGAGUGUAGUGACAUGUUCAGGAUCACAGGUUCAAAGUGUUUUCAGAUAGAUCAGAAUAACGGAUAAAUGACAGGUAUCUCUGAUUAAUGGAACCCCAUGGGUAGGCUCUACAG